RNAcentral lists this ribosomal RNA (269 nucleotides) under unidentified marine bacterioplankton. Its description in RNAcentral is "partial 16S ribosomal RNA". It matches the Rfam family "Bacterial small subunit ribosomal RNA", at positions 67 to 339 of the family's 1533-position model. The record is from RNAcentral. RNAcentral also lists the same sequence under 1 other name.
CAGCAUAGGUGCUUGCACCUGAUGGCGAGUGGCGAACGGGUGAGUAAUACAUCGGAACGUGCCCAGUAGUGGGGGAUAGCCCGGCGAAAGCCGGAUUAAUACCGCAUACGACCUACGGGUGAAAGCGGGGGACCGAAAGGCCUCGCGCUAUUGGAGCGGCCGAUGGCUGAUUAGCUAGUUGGUGGGGUAAAGGCCUACCAAGGCUACGAUCAGUCGCUGGUCUGAGAGGACGACCAGCCACACUGGGACUGAGACACGGCCCAGACUCC